GACUGAUGAUCGAGUGAUAGUUUUAAAUUAAAGAGAUAUCGGACAUAUUUCAUGAUGAUCGAGUGAUAGUUUUAAAUUAAAGAGAUAUCGGACAUAUUUCAUGAUGAUCGAGUGAUAGUUUUAAAUUAAAGAGAUAUCGGACACAUUUCAUGAUGAUCCAGUGAUAGUUUUAAAUUAAAGAGAUAUCUGACAGAUUUCAUGAUGAUCGAGUGAUAGUUUUGAAUUAAAGAGAUUUCGGACACAUUUCAUGAUGAUCGAGUGAUAGUUUUAAAUUAAAGAGAUAUCGGACACAUUUCGUGAUGAUCGAGUGAUAGUUUUAAAUUAAAGAGAUAUCGGACACAUUUCAUGAUGAUCGAGUGAUAGCCUAGCCUUGCUACAUGAUUGUGUCUGGGGUUUCUGUGCUUGAUUAAAAGUAGCCUGUCUGACUCUGAGUUUUUAUAAGUUGCUGGCUAAUAUGCAAAUUCUGCUCUAAAAGUCUGUAUUUCCGAUUGGUUGUCCCGACCUAAUUCACUUCCUGUUCAUUGUCCAAUUGGAUUAUGUCAUGAUGAUAUGUUGACCUAUUGACCCAAGCCUGGAGGUCAUGGGGGGUGUAGCCAGGUUGGUUUGGCUGCAGGAAAGAACCUCCAUUCGGGCUCUAGCUAGGGGCAGCCAUUUUGUGUCUGUGUAGAUCAGUGGCACUUGUUAUAGUGAUGUGUGGUCAGUAAGGGAGUGUUAUAGUGAUGUGUGGUCAGUAAGGGAGUGUUAUAGUGAUGUGUGGUCAGUAGGGGAGUGUUAUAGUGAUGUGUGGUCAGUAGGGGAGUGUUAUAGUGAUGUGUGGUCAGUAGGGGAGUGUUAUAGUGAUGUGUGGUCAGUAGGGAGUUGUUAUAGUGAUGUGUGGUCAGUAGGGAGUGUUAUAGUGAUGUGUGGUCAGUAGGGGAGUGUUCAGGUAUAAACCUAAAGGCACCUUAUUUUGGCAGCUGGUGAGUUUCAGGAUCUAAUGCCUCAGAAUCAAGAGAGAGAGAGAAUGUUAAGCAUGGGUUCCACUACAGAGUUAGAGUUUAGUAGAACGGACAAAGACAAGAGAGAGAGAAUGUUAAUGUCUCUGCCAUUGCAGAGAAACGGUGCCGUUUGAGAAGCAGAGUGUGAAAUCUGUACACUGGACUGUAGCCAUCCCAUAGCAUUCUAGUGGUGCUAGAAUGUCCCAUCUAGUGGUUCUAGAAUGUCUAGUGGUUGUAGAAUGUCUAGCGGUUGCAGAAUGUCUAGUGGUUCUAGAAUGUCUAGUGGUUCUAGAAUGUCUAGCGGUUUGCUGCAUGUCUAGUGGUUCUAGAAUGUCUAGCGGUUGCUGAAUGUCUAGUGGUUCUAGAAUGUCUAGUGGUUCUAGAAUGUCUAGCGGUUCUAGAAUGUCCGUUCUAGUAAUGCUAAUUCCACAGGGUUGACCCAGCACACGAGGCGAACCAUAGUAAGGGGUUUCUUUAGAGUUGCACGAAACAACUUUAUUAAGGUCUUACAAAUGUGUAAGUGAAGGAUUAUUCUCUAUCACUGACUAUCUUACAACAGAGAGUAAAACAACACUUUUUUCAGUAGUUUUCCGUAGCUUUACGAUAUAUAUCUUUAUGUUCAGUUUUGGUUCCUUCCAACCAGGCAGCUACCAACUACAUUGUAGCAUCCGCACACAACGUUCAGACACACACACACACACACACACACACACACACACACACACACACACACACACACACACACACACACACACACACACACACACACACACACACACACACACACACACACACACACACACACACACACACACACACACACACACACACACACACACAGAGAGUAUCCAAAACAACAAGUCCCUCUCAGACAGACUAAAAACUACACAUUUUUAUUCUCUUGUUGUUGUUGUUGUUGUUGAUGUUGUUGUUGUUGUUGUUGUUGUUGUUUGUUUGUUUGUUUUGUUUGUUUGUCACUAAAAUCUAAAUGUUUAAAUAUCAUGAAUAUUUCAAAAUCGAUACCUAGACUUAUUUAGUCAUUUUUUUUAUUUAAGUGAUUAAUAUACAAAUCUCAUACAGACGGGAGAAAUGGCACUAAGGCUAGAACCUGCUCCUUAACCACAGAUCUAGGAUCAGUUUAGCCUCCCCCGGGUCCUAUCCUUUACCAUUAGAGGAGGGGGGGGGAUAUAUAACUGACCUUAGAUCAGUCACUAGGGACAGUUUCCCUGCAUACUGGUCAGUGUAUCAGUAAAAAGGCCUAAUUCAUGCAUUGUCACGGCGCAGAACACAUAGAGGAAGAGGAGGAGGAGGAGGAGGAGGAGGAGGAGGAGGAGGAGGAGGAGGAGGAGGAGGAGGAGGAGGAGGAGGAGGAGGAGG
Oncorhynchus keta (chum salmon) is the source of this 2354-nucleotide long non-coding RNA. RefSeq lists it as uncharacterized. The record is from RefSeq and is a predicted model, not a curated record. Lineage: Eukaryota; Metazoa; Chordata; Actinopteri; Salmoniformes; Salmonidae. The transcript has 3 exons.